Molecule: long non-coding RNA, 631 nt
Filed under: Astyanax mexicanus (Mexican tetra)
Lineage: Eukaryota; Metazoa; Chordata; Actinopteri; Characiformes; Acestrorhamphidae
Description: lncRNA (ENSAMXG00005019440.1)
Source: RNAcentral
AUGCAUUGUGUUGAUUUGAAAGAUGCACUUUCAGCCCUUAACGUCUCUGCCCUUUUGUUUAUCCACAGGCUGACGGAGAGAAGGCUGCCAAAGGCAAGGAGGAGCCAACUAGACGCUCCGCAAGGCUGUCUGCUAGACCAGCCCCUCCUAAACCCGCCCCAAAGCCGAAAAAAGCUGCCCCCAAGAAGGCAGCCAAAGGGAAGAAGGCCAACCCUGCUGAAAAUGGAGACGCCAAGGCAGACCAGGCGCAAAAGGUUGAAGCUGCAGCAGACGCCAAAUGAGAAGCGAUUGAAUUGUUUAAUUCUUCUGUGUACUUGGUGACUGUACAGUUUGAAAUAACUAUUUUUUACCAAGUUUUAUAUUAAGAAUAUCGUUUAUAGUUUAAUUGUUGUUUGCUUUCAUAUCCAUUUAUGCCCCAUCAUUAAUGAAGCCGCCCACCUUGCCAAAAUGGCUGAAUUGGUUUGUUUUUAAAAUAUAUUUUAAACACCAAACAUUCUCAUAAGGCAGCUAUAGUGUGUUUUUAAAAUGGUAUGGGAAAGAGUUUUUUCCAUUUUUUUUUCUUUUUUAAUUUUCAUUUUCCUUUUUUAUUUGUGUACUUAACAAUACUGUAUUUUACUUUUUUUCAUUAUGU